CAUAUUUAAUGGCAAAAGAAAUGCUAACAUUUAGACUUUCCUGCUGUAGAAUCUGUUCGAAAUACCCCCAGCACUGACACCAUGCCAGCCUCUUCGUCUCAAACAUGCUGCACUGAUCACCAGGACCCUGAAGGUGCUACCAGCUCCUCUUACUUGGCCAGCUCCCAAGAGGAAGAUUCAGGCCAGAGUCUUCCCACUGCCCAUGUUCGCCCUUCCCACCCACUGAAGAGCUUUGCCGUGCCAGCAAUCCCGCCUCCAGGACCUCCCACCUAUGAUCCUGCAUUGCCAAGCACACCAUUACUAUCCCAGCAAGCUCUGAACCAUCACAUUCACUCAGUGAAGACAGCCUCCAUCGGGACUCUAGGAAGGAGCCGGCCUCCUAUGCCAGUGGUUGUUCCCAGUGCCCCUGAAGUGCAGGAGACCACAAGGAUGUUGGAAGACUCCGAGAGUGUAAGUUCGUGGGGCCAUCAGUCCAGCCAGAUUGCCUGGGAACAUGCCCCACGGCCUGAGACUGCUGGUCAAGCUGAUAUUCUGUGCAUACCA
This 543-nucleotide small RNA is filed under the name Pongo abelii (Sumatran orangutan). Its description in RNAcentral is "retained intron". The record is from RNAcentral. Lineage: Eukaryota; Metazoa; Chordata; Mammalia; Primates; Hominidae.